UGGGCGGCGACCGGCAAACGGGUGCGGAACACGUACGCAACCUACCCAAAACUGGGGAAUAGCCCGGGGAAACCCGAUUAAUACCCCGUAACAUAUUGAAGAGGCAUCUUUUUAAUAUUAUAGCUCCGGCGGUUUUGGAUGGGCGUGCGGCUGAUUAGGUAGUUGGCGGAGUAAUAGCCCACCAAGCCUACGAUCAGUAACUGGUGUGAGAGCACGACCAGUCACACGGGCACUGAGACACGGGCCCG
RNAcentral lists this ribosomal RNA (248 nucleotides) under uncultured bacterium. RNAcentral describes it as "partial 16S ribosomal RNA". It matches the Rfam family "Bacterial small subunit ribosomal RNA", at positions 85 to 334 of the family's 1533-position model. The record is from RNAcentral.